UGCCUGGCGGCCGUAGCGCGGUAGUCCCACCUGACCCCAUGCCGAACUCAGAAGUGAAACGCCGUAGCGCCGAUGGUAGUGUGGGGUCUCCCCAUGCGAGAGUAGGGAACUGCCAGGCAU
RNAcentral lists this ribosomal RNA (120 nucleotides) under Escherichia coli B7A. Lineage: Bacteria; Pseudomonadati; Pseudomonadota; Gammaproteobacteria; Enterobacterales; Enterobacteriaceae. The record is from RNAcentral.